This 263-nucleotide long non-coding RNA is filed under the name Elaeis guineensis (African oil palm). RNAcentral's name for it is "long non-coding RNA (EGUI_LNC001177)". The record is from RNAcentral. Lineage: Eukaryota; Viridiplantae; Streptophyta; Magnoliopsida; Arecales; Arecaceae.
GGGGCUUAGCUAUCAAGAUUGUUUAGGGUAGAUUUGAGAAAUACAUUUCUAUAUUACUCCUAUAUAGCUAUCUUCUUUUCCUUUCCAAUUACAUAAGAGUGCAAUUAUUACAAAACUGAAUAAACAAAAUUACAACUAGCAGUGAACUCUUUCAAAAGUCAGCUAGACAGUAAGAUCCAUGUUUGGAGAUGAAAUUAAGAGCUUUAAAGUUUCUAGACACAUUGCCCUAAAAAAAGGUUCUAAACCCUAUGUUGAACCAGGCC